GCAGCUAUGGCGUAAUAGGCAGGCGCGGCAGACUCAAAAUCUGCUGGUGAAAAUCCGUGUCGGUUCAAAUCCGACUAGCUGCA
This 83-nucleotide transfer RNA is filed under the name Caudoviricetes sp. RNAcentral describes it as "tRNA-Leu". It matches the Rfam family "tRNA". From Rfam's summary of the family: Transfer RNA (tRNA) molecules are approximately 80 nucleotides in length. The record is from RNAcentral. Lineage: Duplodnaviria; Heunggongvirae; Uroviricota; Caudoviricetes.